UUCCGUGGCAAUGGCGGAGGGGCUACACCUGUUCCCAUACCGAACACAGCAGUAAAGUCCUCCAGCGCCGAUGGUACUUGGGUGGCGACGCCCUGGGAGAGUAGGUCGUUGCGGAUU
Molecule: ribosomal RNA, 117 nt
Filed under: Alkalibaculum sporogenes
Lineage: Bacteria; Bacillati; Bacillota; Clostridia; Eubacteriales; Eubacteriaceae
Source: RNAcentral